Molecule: transfer RNA, 63 nt
Filed under: Oncopsis nigrofasciata
Lineage: Eukaryota; Metazoa; Arthropoda; Insecta; Hemiptera; Cicadellidae
Description: tRNA-Ser
Source: RNAcentral
AGUUAUUUAGCUUAAAAUAAAGUGUAUAUUUUGAAAAUAUAAGAUAGAGAAAUUUAAUAACUU